UGCGCAGGCGGAAUAUUAAGUCAGUGGUGAAAGCCUACAGCUCAACUGUAGAACUGCCAUUGAAACUGAUAUUCUUGAGUAUAGUUGUAGUGGGCGGAAUAUAUCAUGUAGCGGUGAAAUGCUUAGAUAUGAUAUAGAACACCGAUCGCGAAGGCAGCUCACUAAACUAUAACUGACGCUCAGGCACGAAAGCGUGGGGAGCAAACAGGAUUAGAUACCCUGGUAGUCC
RNAcentral lists this ribosomal RNA (229 nucleotides) under uncultured bacterium. RNAcentral's name for it is "partial 16S ribosomal RNA". It matches the Rfam family "Bacterial small subunit ribosomal RNA", at positions 568 to 796 of the family's 1533-position model. The record is from RNAcentral.